Molecule: long non-coding RNA, 553 nt
Organism: Populus trichocarpa (black cottonwood)
Lineage: Eukaryota; Viridiplantae; Streptophyta; Magnoliopsida; Malpighiales; Salicaceae
Exons: 2
Source: RefSeq, a predicted model, not a curated record
UCACCUGUAGUGUGACUGGAUCAGAAAUGUAACGACUAUUUUUACUUACAACUAACUGUUUGCUUGUCACAGCUAAGUCCGAAUCUAAGCAAUGAGAAGGGAAUUCAAAACCCCAAUUUAACAUCUUAGAUGAUCAAGACCAAAAGCAUGGUUGUUUUCAGUGGAGCAGCAAUUGAGAUAUAACAUGGAAGAAUAGAGAGAGUCCUGGUUCCCGGAUACCUCGACACAUAUUUUAGCUAUCAAAAGUAUAGGAACUGGAAACGUUUGAUAACUGACCUUGGUUCCUCUCUUGGGUCCAAUAGGUGGUGGCUUAGGUUUUGGAGCUUCAGCUACAGCUGGUUCUGUGGUGGCAGCAGGUGGUGAUGCACCCUCUUCAGCUGACCUUACGACAAGCCUCGAAUAGUUCUUGUUGUUGUUCUUUGAAGAGAAAAACAACAUGGUGGGCUUAGAAGUUGAGUUUGUAUUGGUUGCAACAGUUGGUGCCAACGCAAAUCCUGAUGCAGCUGAUGCCAUGUUGCAGCUAGCCAUGUUGUCUGUGCGCCUGUCUCUCUUU